UUGAUCUCAAAUCAGGUAGGACUACCCGCUGAACUUAAGCAUAUCAAUAAGCGGAGGAAAAGAAACUAACAAGGAUUCCCCUAGUAACUGCGAGUGAAGCGGGAAGAGCUCAAAUUUAAAAUCUGGCGUGCCUCUGGUCGU
RNAcentral lists this ribosomal RNA (141 nucleotides) under uncultured Thelephoraceae. Its description in RNAcentral is "partial 28S ribosomal RNA". It matches the Rfam family "Eukaryotic large subunit ribosomal RNA", at positions 1 to 137 of the family's 3401-position model. The record is from RNAcentral. Lineage: Eukaryota; Fungi; Basidiomycota; Agaricomycetes; Thelephorales; Thelephoraceae.